Hippopotamus amphibius kiboko is the source of this 73-nucleotide small nucleolar RNA. RefSeq annotates it as small nucleolar RNA SNORD113/SNORD114 family. The transcript has a single exon. NCBI's taxonomy places the organism in Eukaryota, Metazoa, Chordata, Mammalia, Artiodactyla, Hippopotamidae. The record is from RefSeq and is a predicted model, not a curated record.
CAGACCAAUGGUGAAGAUUGGUGGUGUAGCAGUGAUGGGUGAUGAAAUACACGCCUGAAACUCUGAGGUCCAA